Molecule: non-coding RNA, 45 nt
Filed under: Schistosoma bovis
Lineage: Eukaryota; Metazoa; Platyhelminthes; Trematoda; Strigeidida; Schistosomatidae
Also listed under: 1 other name
Source: RNAcentral
ACCUUGCUGACGAGUGUCAAGUAGCACGAAACACGUGUCCAGGGU